CCUACGGGUGGCAGCAGUGAGGAAUAUUGGUCAAUGGGCGCGAGCCUGAACCAGCCAAGUCGCGUGAAGGAUGACUGCCCUAUGGGUUGUAAACUUCUUUUAUAUGGGAAUAAAGUGCGGGACGUGUACUGUUUUGCAUGUACCUUAUGAAUAAGGAUCGGCUAACUCCGUGCCAGCAGCCGCGGUAAUACGGAGGAUCCGAGCGUUAUCCGGAUUUAUUGGGUUUAAAGGGAGCGUAGGCGGGUUUUUAAGUCAGUUGUGAAAGUUUGGGGCUCAACCGUAAAAUUGCAGUUGAUACUGGCAGGCUUGAGUACAGUAGAGGUAGGCGGAAUUCGAGGUGUAGCGGUGAAAUGCUUAGAUAUCACGAAGAACUCCGAUUGCGAAGGCAGCCUGCUAGACUGUAACUGACGCUGAUGCUCGAAAGCGUGGGUAUCAAACAGGAUUAGAUACCCCAGUAGUC
RNAcentral lists this ribosomal RNA (460 nucleotides) under uncultured bacterium. RNAcentral's name for it is "partial 16S ribosomal RNA". It matches the Rfam family "Bacterial small subunit ribosomal RNA", at positions 338 to 795 of the family's 1533-position model. The record is from RNAcentral.